GCACUGUCCAGUACAGGCAGACACAAAUCUCGCAUCGUUCCAUUCUUAUUUAAUAUAUAAUUUUGAAAUGAAUAAAGAAAUCACGUACUAUUAAAACCAACUCCUCAUGUGUUUAUUUUCGUGUAAGAGCGCCGAAAAUACAUGACAGAUUUCGAAGAGAUUCCGUAUUACAAUCCUACAUUACAUUCUGCUUUAAGUACACGUUACUUGAAUGCGUAAUCAUUUUGAUUAAACUGUGUGUGUGUGUGUGUGUGGCGCGUUUAUUGGUCAUGAAAUUUAUUAGUGCUGAAGUCUAAUCAACUUUUAAUUAUAUUUCGAUAUAGUUUUGGUGUAAUGUAUUUGUUAUUCGUAUUAUUAACCGUUCAUGUUAAUAUAUUCUAUUGUUUUGAUACAGCCUAUAAGAAAAGUCGCCGAACAUCGUCCGUUCUCCUAGUUCCAUGCGCUGUCGUUUUCGUGUUCUAUGGUGGUGCACUCUGUUGAUUUUAAGUGGUACCUGGUCACGUUGCAAAGCAGUGUAGCUGUCUGCUGUUGCAAUAGAACGUGUUGUGACUGCUAUUGAUUUCUCAAGGCAGGGCUUUUGGGAGGUUAUGUCACACACACAGCGUCUGUAUUACUAUUGUUAAAACCAUAAAUUGUGCGAAACAGAUGCUAUGAGAUAGAAGGAUCAGUAGCAAAAGAAAUUUGUAUGGUCAAAGAAUACGAACCAGCGCAAAUAACGGAAUGUCUAAGAACAAAUAAUUUAUGAAUUUAGAAGUUGUGUAGAAUAACAUAUUUCAGUUUAUGAAGACUUUAUAAAAUCAAGAGGUUAGGAGACAUUUUACAUUGUAAAUUAUAUACAGCUCAAAUUAAACAGUCUGUGAUGUAUAAACAAAGUCAACACCGUCCAUUUGAAACGUACUUUUCGCUAAAGAGAUGCCUCUUGUCCAAUGUAUUUCAUUAAAUAAGGUGAUGUGUGCGUGUGUUCUAACCUUAUUUUGUCCGACCUUCUUUUUCAGUGUGCAAACAUUUUUUGUUUAUCAUAGCCAUUGUGUUUCUGGAAGUCAGAACGUCGAUACACAUCUUUGAGACAUGUUGGCUGUACCUUGUUCUUUGCCGACGCACUACGAAUCAGUAUCUUAUAUACAGAGUGUUACAAAAUUACGCAAUGGUAGAAAAACUCAAAACGAAAAUGUGAAAGGAUGAAUUGUGUACAGGGGACCGUCAGAUGGGACAAGUGUAUGAAUCACACUGUGGGAGGACCAAAUUUAUAGGACGUGAUAUACAGCUCUUUAAUACGAAAUUAUUCCGUGCGAUACAACGGUGGACAGUGGUCGGCGGUCAGCUGCUUCUCUGCACCGUCGUACCAUGCCAGGAAGACAUCAGCAAGGAGAGGAGAUGGAGUCAAACCAAAUUCUCAGCUGUUCUCAAGUAGGCGGCAGGUGCAAGUGGACCGAUGCAUUGGUUCCUCUGAACAAGGUGAGAGAGAGGAACCUCUUUUGUGACGCGGUGUUGAGGUUGGACGACGGCGGCGUCUUUCCAGUCCACAGAUUGAUUCUGUCGAUGGACAGCGAAUAUUUCAGGACCCUCUUCACAACAACACUGCACACCA
This is a non-coding RNA of Zootermopsis nevadensis, 1588 nucleotides long. The record is from RefSeq and is a predicted model, not a curated record. NCBI's taxonomy places the organism in Eukaryota, Metazoa, Arthropoda, Insecta, Blattodea, Termopsidae.